Molecule: long non-coding RNA, 1762 nt
Organism: Oncorhynchus gorbuscha (pink salmon)
Lineage: Eukaryota; Metazoa; Chordata; Actinopteri; Salmoniformes; Salmonidae
Exons: 3
Source: RefSeq, a predicted model, not a curated record
AAUUUACAUGAAGUGGAGUGACUUAUGUAAGGGUGAAACUGUAUAAAAGCAGAGUACUGAGAAUGGAGAGAUCAGUUCUUACAUGGAAUUGCUCGGCUUUGUUACUUUUGUAAUGAAGUCUAUUUGAAUUCACAAGCUCCGGUAUCUGAAAAAUAUUUGUUUCAACAUUUCUACGACAGACACCUACUCAUUCAAAGUUCGUCUUGUUUGUUCAAGCUUACCAGCGGUUCCCAGCCUCUCUUUGCUAGUCUUCCCAGUUUUGACCUCUGCCUGUCCUGAUCCUGUACCCGCCCUCCUGACGCUGAGCCUGCCUGCUGUCCUGUACCUUUGCUCCACCUCUGGAUUACUGAACCCUGCCUGUCCCUAACCCUGAGUCCACCUGCCGUCCUGUACCAUUGUCUUACCCUGGAUUUUCAACCACUGCCUGCUUUGGCAUGUCUUUGCCUGCCGCUGUUGCUACAAUACAGUGUUACUUUGACAGUCUGCAUCUGGGUCUUACCUUGAUUCCUGAUAACCACAGCGAUACGCCACCCAAUGUGGUUUGCGCUUAGUGGGACUAUCUUGUGUUUUUCAACAGGACAACCUCAAUCCAAUUGAGACGGUUUGGGAUGAGUUGGACCUCAGAGUGAAGCAAAAGCAGCCAACAAGUGCUCACCCUCUGUGGGAACUCUUCAAGACUGUUCAAGCAUUCCAGGUGAAGCUGGUUGCGAGAAUGCCAAGAGUGUGCAAUGCUGUCAUCAAGGUUCUCCCACUGCCGCUGUUUUCUGGGUAAUCUUCAAAGUUUCUGGUGGCAGCAAAACACAGUCAUGUGGACGAUUGGAUGACUUCCAACAGACUGACUGGUUUUCCAGCAUGGCGCCUGGUCUGGUUGCUACAGUAGGUGAUCUGUGAAGAAACUACAAGCACUCUAUAGUGGCACAACCUGUUUUACUUAUCUGUACACAAUAUCAUUGGUUGAUAGAUAAUCAAGUCAAACCAAUCUACACCUGGGGCCUGUUCAGGAGAAUGGAAAUUUCCAGAUUUUUCGGAUAGAAACAUUUUGUGUAGAUCAAACAUGAUCUACUUUCAGAUUGAAAUAUUAUGGGACAUUGUGUGUGUGCUCCAUUAGUUGAAGGUAGCAAAUCCAAAAGUUUCUGAAGAGUAGUCACUUCCUUAGAUCUGUGUUCAAAUCUUUUUUUUAAGUAGUUGCUUUCUCAGAUCUGUAUUCAAAUAGUUACAUUGGAGGUGACUACAACUAUCUGUUCCGCUAAAAAAAUUGUUACUUUCCACAAAGCGUAUUUUAAACUAUAGUUGUCAAAUGUGUCGUGCCCACUGUCCACAAAAUGGACAACUGAGCUGCACUUUAUAACCUCCUGCCAAAUGUAUGACCACAUUAGAGACACAUAUUUCCCACAGAUCAGAGAGAGAGAGAAUGAGCCAAAUGCUUUGUCGGUCAUUACAGAGUGAAAACACACCAACCUUCAGGCCACGAGAACCCUUUGGAAACUAGCUAUGACUGUAAACACAACGCUACACCUCUGUGUGUGUGGCUAGCUCUCUCACCUCUCUCCAAAGACCAAUUAGUACCCACCCCCCUCUCCCUUUACUUUCUCUCUCUUAUCUUCAACUCCUGUCCCCUUCUCUCCCCCUUUCCCUUUUUCUCUCAACGUCAUUCGCACUUUGCAUUCUGUUCUCGCUCUCAAUUUUCACAAGAAAUUUGAACCCUCUGGGGUUUCCCAGCAUCCUUUACACUUUCUCAGAAUCUCUUUUUUUGGCGGGGGGG